AUGAGUUUACGGCAUCUCUCAAAUGACGUUGGUGCGGAUGGGACUCUCUCCCGCCUGGUUUCCAAUUUCCAGUCAAAGAAUUGGUGGCGAGCCUGAGU
Molecule: non-coding RNA, 98 nt
Filed under: unclassified sequences
Description: wcaG RNA
Rfam family: wcaG RNA
Source: RNAcentral